This 492-nucleotide ribosomal RNA is filed under the name uncultured bacterium. Its description in RNAcentral is "partial 16S ribosomal RNA". It matches the Rfam family "Bacterial small subunit ribosomal RNA", at positions 29 to 507 of the family's 1533-position model. The record is from RNAcentral.
AGUGAACGCUGGCGGUAGGCCUAACACAUGCAAGUCGAACGGCAGCACAGUAAGAGCUUGCUCUUACGGGUGGCGAGUGGCGGACGGGUGAGGAAUACAUCGGAAUCUACUUUUUCGUGGGGGAUAACGUAGGGAAACUUACGCUAAUACCGCAUACGCCCUACGGGUGAAAGCAGGGGAUCUUCGGACCUUGCGCGAUUGAAUGAGCCGAUGUCGGAUUAGCUAGUUGGCGGGGUAAAGGCCCACCAAGGCGACGAUCCGUAGCUGGUCUGAGAGGAUGAUCAGCCACACGGGAACUGAGACACGGUCCAGACGCCUACGGGAGGGAGCAGUGGGGAAUAUGGGACAAUGGGCGCAAGCAUGAUCCAGCCAUACCGCGUGGGUGAAGAAGGCCUUCGGGUUGUAAAGACCUUUUGUUGGGAAAGAAAAGCAGCAGGUUAAUACCCAGCUGUUCUGACGGUACCCAAAGAAUAAGCACCGGCUAACUUCGUG